Molecule: ribosomal RNA, 618 nt
Filed under: Triticum aestivum (bread wheat)
Lineage: Eukaryota; Viridiplantae; Streptophyta; Magnoliopsida; Poales; Poaceae
Description: partial small subunit ribosomal RNA
Source: RNAcentral
AUGGCGGUGCAGCAGUGUACGGUGGCGCUCUUGGUGGCCGUCGCCCUCGUGGCGGGGCCAGCCGUCUCGUAUGCUGCCGAAGCUGGCUAUGCCCCAGCCGGGCCACAGCCCAAGGCCACAACUGAGGAGCAGAAGCUAGCUGAGAAAGCCAACAAUGCCUUCAAGGCGGCCGUGGCGGCCGCAGCCGCAGCCCCUCCAAUGGACAAGGGCAAGAUAUUCCUCAACACCUUCGUGCAGAUCUUCGGCAGCUGGUCUCUUGAGGGGGUCACCGACACGUCCAGCACCAAAGCCAUUUUCAACUCCAGGGUCGGCUUCACUCUCGCGUGGGCCUCACACAAAGCCCAGGGUGCUACCCUGGAGGCCAAGUAUGAAUCCUUCGUGGCCAUGUUCGACAAGUCGCUCUGCAUCAUCGUCGGCAUCCUGAAGGUCCACUCCGGUGAGGAAGUCAAGGGGCCGAUCCCUGUCGGCGAGCUCAAGGCCAUCGACCAGAUCGACGCCGCCUUCAGCACUGCAGCCACCACUGCCGACGCUGCCCCAAUAAAGGACAGGUCCACCAUCUUCGACUCUGCCUUCAGCGAGGCCAUCAAGGAGACCACUGGUGAUGCAUACGAGGCCUAA